This 788-nucleotide ribosomal RNA is filed under the name uncultured archaeon. Its description in RNAcentral is "bacterial SSU rRNA". It matches the Rfam family "Archaeal small subunit ribosomal RNA", at positions 85 to 876 of the family's 1478-position model. The record is from RNAcentral.
ACGGCUCAGUAACACGUAGUCAACAUGCCCAGGGGACGUGGAUAACCUCGGGAAACUGAGAUUAAACCGCGAUAGGUCAAGAUUUCUGGAAUGGAUCCUGUCCUAAAUCUACAUGGCCCCUGGAUUGGACUGCGGCCGAUCAGGCUGUUGGUGAGGUAAUGGCCCACCAAACCUAUAACCGGUACGGGCUCUGAGAGGAGAAGCCCGGAGAUGGGCACUGAGACAAGGGCCCAGGCCCUAUGGGGCGCAGCAGGCGCGAAACCUCUGCAAUGGGCGAAAGCCUGACAGGGUUACUCUGAGUGAUUUCCGCUAAGGAGAUCUUUUGGCAGCUCUAAAAAUGGUGCAGAAUAAGGGGUGGGCAAGUCUGGUGUCAGCCGCCGCGGUAAUACCAGCACCCCGAGUGGUCGGGACGAUUAUUGGGCCUAAAGCAUCCGUAGCCGGUUGUGCAAGUCCUCCGUUAAAUCCAGCCGCUCAACGGAUGGGCUGCGGAGGAUACUACAGGACUAGGAGGCGGGAGAGGCAAGCGGUACUUAGUGGGUAGGGGUAAAAUCCUUUGAUCCAUUGAAGACCACCAGCGGCGGAGGCGGCUUGCCAGAACACGCUCGACGGUGAGGGAUGAAAGCUGGGGGAGCAAACCGGAUUAGAUACCCGGGUAGUCCCAGCUGUAAACGAUGCAGACUCGGUGAUGGGCUAGCCUCGUGUCAGCCCAGUGCCGCAGGGAAGCCGUUAAGUCUGCCGCCUGGGGAGUACGGUCGCAAGACUGAAACUUAAAGGAAUUGGCGGGGGAG